GAAUGACAUAAAAUUUUCCAGUUUCUUUCUAAAUUUCAAUUUCAAGUACACAAAAGGAAAGAACCUCUAUAAUUCAAGACAUUAGUAUUGCAAAAGCAAAUCGUUCUACUCUCUAUGUUGGAUACUGUAAAGCCUGAUGAUCAUACAAUUACUAUGGUGCAUCGAUAAGCCUUAUUUUCCAGGCUAUCAUUCAUUGGUGUCUAUUCCGCAGAUGCUCUUUUUUAAGAGCCAAGAACUUAGCUGCUAGCUCUUCAUAGUUUGGCAAUUUAGGGUGGACAUGAUUAGGAGACUGAAUAGCAAAAGAACUGGACCUAAAUGCGUUUUCAGUUUGAUCGCCCUUAGACCGCUCUUGGGGCAUUGUCAUGGCUCUCAAAUAAGGGGGCUUUGGUGCUUUUCUUGUCAAAGGACUAGUAGCCUUAGGUGAUGAAUUAUUAGAAGCAAAAUGGCUGCCUAGAGGAUCAAAUUCAUCGACCUUUCCUUUCGCUACCUUGCUUCGCUUAUCAGGCUGGCAAUCUGAAUUGGUUAAAGAGCUGAAUGCACUACCACCAAAUUCACAGCUUCUUCUUCUAGGCCUCUGAUCAGGAAAGGUAUACCAUUCCAUUUCUGUGUCUGGUUUUCCAAUCCUACAACACUUAUGAACAUGCUUUUGUUCUAAGCCAUGACUAAUCGUGUCAUUCUGCUUUGGACGAGGAGAUUUCUGAUCAUCUCUGCCAUCACCAAUAUAAAAAUAAUACGGAUGGCAGCAGCACUCAGCCUCAAGAUUAAAGCAGCAGCAGGAGUGAGGAUGUUUCUGCCUCUUCUCUUCAUGAAAUGCCUGCUCGCUAUUUUGUACUACAUUCUUCCUUAGAUGCUUACUGUGAAGAUGUGACCUAGGAUUUGGAGAUCUCGUGUAUGGCUCGUCAUAAUAAACCAAGCAUUCAAUAUCCUUCACACUUGAAUUUCCUCGAGAGAAGGAUCUCCUCCUUGUUCUUUUCCUGACAGCCUUUUCUCUCUUUCUUGUGCUACAUGAGCUUGAGGAAUCACUAUAACAGUCUUCAGCUUUUCCAUCUGUAGGCAGCACAGAUGAUUUGAACUUGAAAAUCCUUUGGUCCUGGCAGCUUCCUUCAUUCUUAAUGGAUUGUUGAACCUCCUCUACGUCAUCAAGAUAGGUUAUCAUUUCCUCGGGAAGCUGAGGCAAACUUUCUGAAGAAGAAGCUGUCAUCUUUCGCUCUUGCUUGUGAUCUGAAUUGGGAAUGUAAGCUCUGCAAGUUUUCUGACUUUCAUCAGAACCAAAAGCUACAACUUCGAAUUUGUGGGGAGACUCCAAUCCUGCUUUUCCAUUCAUCGGAGACUUCAUUAUAUCUGGUGGAGAUCGCUCAACUAUAGAAGAAGUAAUGGAAGUACUCAUCUUGUCUUCCUGAUGAGCACCGAAUGGUAUGGUACUCAUCACAGUAGAUGCUGCAUCUGCAUAUUUGGCUUUUCCCUCUUUAUCAUAAGUUUGAAAAUCAAUAUCUAGUACCUGUUGCUGAAGUUCAGAAGUGUAUGCAAGUGCAAAAAUCUCUGGCUUGAGGCUGUAAUCUCUAGAUAUCUGAGCUACUAAUUUUUGCUUCACAUCAUCAGGAACUGAUUUAAUGGACAGUUUCUCUUUCACCUGGAGGUUGACAAGAUUGCCAGGCAAUAGUUCAAGAGCUGUCAUUUCAAAUCUCUGGCCAUAACGCUCUCCAAAGAGCUUGCGGAUAGAUCGAAGCUCUGGUAGAUCCCCACAUCUUGCAGAGGCAAAUAUAAGACUCGAAACUGCUUCAUUGAUAUCAUUGGGACAAUCCUUGUGCUUGCGGAUAUACGAUAUGUGGACGAGGAUAAAAUCACAGAAAUUGUCCAGUAAUUCAUAAAUGUCCAUAAUGGUUUCAUCUAUAAAAAGAUGCUCUGCCCGAUUGAAGGCAAUAUCUUCAUAGCCAAUCUUGAUGAGCUGAGCCACAUCCUCCCUAAUCUGCCUCACAAUUGAAUACCUCUUGGUCUUUAACAGCUUGAGUCGGCACUGAACUCGUUUGAUCAGCUUCUUGCAUUUAGAAGCUUUUCGCCACCCAAACAAGAAAUCAAACAUCUCUCAAUGUUUUCACUCUGCUUUAUUCUUGAAGUAACAGUAGUAGAAUUCAAUAGGAAGCUGAAGUUGGGAGUGAGUUUACAUGUUGCAGGGGAAAGAAGAAUGGAUUGAAAAUGGAAUGUUUUAAGGAGAAGGUGAAGAAGAGCUAACCGAAGCAACAUGGGAUAUGAAGUACAUGGCAGUUAGUAGUUGGUUUUAGGAGAAGUGGGUUUGAAAAAAUUGGAAGAGAGUGGCGCACGCUUCUCUCCCUCCACUCAGGAAAAAAAAACUGCUCCUCUUCCU
RNAcentral lists this unclassified non-coding RNA (2362 nucleotides) under Hevea brasiliensis (rubber tree). The record is from RNAcentral. Lineage: Eukaryota; Viridiplantae; Streptophyta; Magnoliopsida; Malpighiales; Euphorbiaceae.